RNAcentral lists this ribosomal RNA (497 nucleotides) under uncultured bacterium. Its description in RNAcentral is "partial 16S ribosomal RNA". It matches the Rfam family "Bacterial small subunit ribosomal RNA", at positions 28 to 507 of the family's 1533-position model. The record is from RNAcentral.
GAUGAACGCUGGCGGCGUGCCUAAUACAUGCAAGUCGAGCGAACGGACGAGACGCUUGCUUCUCUGAUGUUAGCGGCGCACGGGUGAGUAACACGUGGAUAACCUACCUAUAAGACUGGUAUAACUUCGGGAAACCGGAGCUAAUACCGGAUAAUCUUUUGAACCGCAUGGUUCAAUAGUGAAAGACGGUCUUGCUGUCACUUAUAGAUGGAUCCGGGCUGUAUUAGCUAGUUGGUAAGGUAACGGGCUACCAAGGCAACGAUGCAUAGCCGACGUGAUAGGGUGAUCGGCCACCCUGGAACGGGGCCAGGGUCCAUACUACUGAGGGAGGCAGCAGUAGGGAAUGGUACGCAGUAGGCGAGAGCCUGACGGAGCAGGGGCGCGCGAGUGAUGGAGGUCUUCGGAGCGUAAAGCUCUGUUACUAGGGAAGAACCGAUGUGUAAGUAACCGAGGAGAUAUUGACGGUACUUAAUCAGAAAGCCACGGCUAACUACGUG